GCUGUUCAGCCUGGAGAAGAGAAGGCUUCAGGGAGACUAUAGAACACCUUCCAGUACCUGAAGGGAGAGCUGGAAAGGGACACUGAACAGGAGUAUGAAGUGGUAGGAGAAGAGUUUAUGGUUUUAAAAUGAAAGAGGGUAGAUUUGGAUUGGAAAUUAGGAAGAAAUUUUUUACUGUGAAGGUGGUGAGGCACUGAAACAGGUUGUCCAGAGAAGCUGUGAAUGCCUCGUCCCUGGAAGUGUUCAAGACCAACCUGGAUGGGGUUUAGAGCAACCUGGUCUAGUGGAAGGUGUCCUUGCCCCCAGCAGGGGGGUUGGAACUAGAUGACAUCUAAUGUCCUGACCUACCCAUACCAUUCCAUGAUUCUGUGAAGUCAAAACAGAGGACUAUUCAGCUCUCAUGUCUUCCAGGCCAGGCUUUGGAUAAGUGAAUUUUCUCUGCCUGUUUUUCUUCCUCAGCUACAAAUGGAGUUAAAGGUGAUUGGCAAGGACUAAAACUCUGGAGCAAGCUGAGGACAAAGAGGGGAUGAAAAUGAUCUGGGUGACUCCUUCUGCAGGAUUUAUUCUGGGCUGUGUUGGACCACAGAAUACUGUCUUGUCCCUGGAGAAAAAAGAAUCAGAAUGAAAGGUUAUAAUGCAAAUCUGUAAUGCUGCAGAAGUGACAGAGAACAAAGACACAUUCCUGAAGACCUGUCAGAAAAGCAAAUAAAACUAAGAGCUGUUCUGAGACUUCUACAAGACGAUAGAAAACCAUCUUCUUCCUCUUUCUCCACUCUUCAAGCCGCCAGCUCACUGGUUGAAGUUGAUGCCCUGGAGGGUUCUGGAUGAUGUACCAUAACAGAAGAGGUGUAAGACACUGUCCAUUGGUCAGUCUCCAGGAUGAAAAAUCUGGAGGCUGUUGGUGACAAUCCAAGUCACCAGCCUUGGGCUUCUGCCUCUGCAGCUUCCUUCUCCACAGCUUUGGGGCUCUGGAGAGGGUAGCUAUCAGUUUUCCAAGGAAACAAAGGAAAAGAAGAUGAAAUAGUUGUCAAGCAUUGCAUUGUACCAUGCCAUGAAUUUUCCUUCCUACAGGCUGAAAAGAAACCACUGAAUUAUAUCAUAACUGUCAAGUGUCCUGUUUUUAGUUUGUUGCUCAAACACAAUAAAAUUAUUUAAUAUACAAAAGCUAUCAUGCACAGCCAGUCGGUCUUUCCUUCAGCAAUAUAUAGAGGAAAACAAGGAAUGAGAAACACACCUGAAAAUGGUGAAACAUUGACAGUAGAACACUGGAGAAUAUUGUAAUAGAUCAUAUUUACGACAAAA
Passer domesticus (house sparrow) is the source of this 1302-nucleotide long non-coding RNA. RefSeq lists it as uncharacterized. Lineage: Eukaryota; Metazoa; Chordata; Aves; Passeriformes; Passeridae. The transcript is spliced from 4 exons. The record is from RefSeq and is a predicted model, not a curated record.